GUCGGGGUAGAGAAGUUCGGCCAUCUCGCUGUCCUCAUAAGUCAGAGACCGUGGGUUCAAAUCCCACCCCCGCCAC
Molecule: transfer RNA, 76 nt
Filed under: Mycobacteroides abscessus subsp. bolletii
Lineage: Bacteria; Bacillati; Actinomycetota; Actinomycetes; Mycobacteriales; Mycobacteriaceae
Also listed under: 1 other name
Description: tRNA-Met(cat)
Rfam family: tRNA
About the family: Transfer RNA (tRNA) molecules are approximately 80 nucleotides in length. Their secondary structure includes four short double-helical elements and three loops (D, anti-codon, and T loops).
Source: RNAcentral